AAACUUUCAACAACGGAUCUCUUGGUUCUGGCAUCGAUGAAGAACGCAGCGAAAUGCGAUAAGUAAUGUGAANUGCAGAAUUCAGUGAAUCAUCGAAUCUUUGAACGCACAUUGCGCCCCUUGGUAUUCCGAGGGGCAUGCCUGUUCGAGCGUCAUUU
Molecule: ribosomal RNA, 158 nt
Filed under: Cercospora beticola
Lineage: Eukaryota; Fungi; Ascomycota; Dothideomycetes; Mycosphaerellales; Mycosphaerellaceae
Description: 5.8S ribosomal RNA
Rfam family: 5.8S ribosomal RNA
About the family: 5.8S ribosomal RNA (5.8S rRNA) is a component of the large subunit of the eukaryotic ribosome. It is transcribed by RNA polymerase I as part of the 45S precursor that also contains 18S and 28S rRNA.
Source: RNAcentral